AUUGAACGCUGGCGGCAUGCCUAACACAUGCAAGUCGAACGGGGGCAGCAAUGCCCUAGUGGCGGACGGGUGAGGAAUACGUAGGAACCGGCCCACGAGUGGGGGACAACCUGGGGAAACCCAGGCUAAUACCGCAUACGCUCGCGAGAGGAAAGCGGGGGGACCUUCGGCCGUCGCGCUGGUGGACGGGCCGUACGUCCGAUUAGCUAGUUGGUGGGGUAAAAGGACCUACCAAGGCGACGAUCGGUAGCUGGUCUGAGAGGAUGAUCAGCCACACUGGGACUGAGACACGGCCCAGACUCCUACGGGAGGCAGCAGUGGGGAAGUAUUGGAC
Molecule: ribosomal RNA, 334 nt
Filed under: uncultured bacterium
Lineage: Bacteria
Description: bacterial SSU rRNA
Rfam family: Bacterial small subunit ribosomal RNA
Source: RNAcentral